Non-coding RNA from Rattus norvegicus (Norway rat), 4085 nucleotides. The record is from RefSeq and is a predicted model, not a curated record. NCBI's taxonomy places the organism in Eukaryota, Metazoa, Chordata, Mammalia, Rodentia, Muridae.
UUUAAUCUAGAUAUGCCUCACAGGCUUGCCCAAAGGCUGUUUCCUUUGAGAGUCUAGAUCCUGUCAACUUGACAACCAAUAUUAACCUUCAGUGUACCUACAGUUUACUCCAUCAAUAAUAUACUGUUACCCAAAUGUUCAUCUCUGGGGUUUAUUGAAGGAAACUUUGAGUGGAAACAUAAAGUCUUGAAACCCAACGGAUGGAUGCAGGCGCAGUGGAGCAGCCGCACAGAGGACCCACUUCUUUCAAGUGCUGAUCAUUCUUGACGAUGGGCUGAAUUUAUAUGGUUACUGCAAUAUAGAACUGUCUUCGUAACUAAAUAGAGAUCAGAAAUUGCGAAGAUCUUAUGAGAAAUAAAGGCACAUGAGGGAACCACGGUGUAUUCAUGUUCUCAAUCAACUCAGGAAGGAAGAGAAAGAACAGCAUUCAAGGUAGACUCAUAACCCGGAAGAACAUCAGUGAUGGUUUGGCUAUGCUCAGCCCAGGAAGUGGCACUAUUUGGAGGUGUGGCCUUGUUGGGUGGGCGUGGCCUUGUUGGAGUGGGCGUGGCCUUGUCGGAGGAAGUGUGUCACUGUGGGUGUGGGCUUUAAGACCCUCAUCCUAGCUGCCUAGAAGCGGGGAUUCUGCUAGCAGCCUUCAGAGAAAGAUGUAGAACUCUCAGCUCCUCCUGCACCAUGCCUGCCAGAAUGCCGCCAUGCUCCCGCCUUGAUGAUGAUAAUGGACUGACUGAACUUAAGGACGAAAACGAAAAAAAUUCACAAACAGACCUGAAUGGUGUGCCAGCCUCUUAACAUACCUACUGCAGCCAAAUGGAAGAAACCCGAUGCUUAUAUAUGCCAGACCAAACAGCUGGUCUCCCCAAGGAAGUGGGCUAGCGAGAGGCUGGCGGUCCACAGCUCACUGUGGGAAAAGCUCUCCUUUGAGCCUGCUACUUUUUGUAUUCUGUUAAAAUAGCCACCAGAGGGGAGGACAUAUGGAUGGGGUGCAGCCUGGUACCAGAUGGUGUGGGGUGAGCAAGACAAGACUCCCAUCUCCCGACACUAAAAAUGGAUGCCCUCUGGGCAGCUUGGAGUACCAACACAGGAAGUGGCUUCUCACCAUCCAAACCUCAGCUUCCCACUUCAGGUUGUGGGGGACGGAUGUUCUGACUUCUGCGGCACUCAAAACACAAGUGCUUUUAAUCUUAAACAAAACACUGGGAGGGAUGAUCCAUGCCUGGAGUCAGUUCUCCUUCUUGGGAAGAGGGUUUGCUUAUUGAAUUAGACACUCUUAAGUGGGGAACAGUCUGUUCCUGGGUUCCAGCCGGACCAGGCUUUAGGAAGAGCACAUCUUGCUCUGACUUCUACCGUAUCAAGGAAUUUUACUAACAGUUACCCUGGCUUUUCAGGGGACCGCUCAAUAAGGGUCCUUAUCCAAGUCAUGUUUUCCCACAUGGCUUAUUGUCUAAGAGGGAAAAGGAUAUCUGUCUUAAUCAGGGUCCUGUUGCUGCACAAAACACCAUGCCCAAGAAGCAAGUUGGGGAGGAAAAGAUUUAUUCAGCUUACACGUCCACAUUGCUGUUCAUUACCAAAGGAAGUCAGGACAGGAGCUCUCACAGGGCAAGAACCUGGAGGCAGGAGCUGAUGCAGAAGCCAUGGAGGAAUGCUGCUUUCUGGAUUGCUUCCCCUGGCUUGCUCAGCUUGCUUUUUUUUUUUUUUUUUUGGUUCUUUUUUUCGGAGCUGGGGACCGAACCCAGGGCCUUGCGCUUCCUAGGUAAGCGCUCUACCACUGAGCUAAAUCCCCAGCCCCUCAGCUUGCUUUUUUAUAGAACCCAGGACUACCAGCCCAGGGAUGGUUAUCACUCACAAUAGGCCUUUCCCACCUUUGAUCACUAAUUGAGAAAAUGCCUUACAGCUGGAUCUCAUGGAGGCAUUUCCUCAAGGGAGGCUCCUUUCUUUGUGACAGCUCCAGCUUGUGUCAAGUUGACACCCAGAACCAGCCGGUACGAUAAGCAAGCAUAAAGGAAAACCGUGGCUCAGAUAAACACUCGAAUCUCAAACACUUGAGCGUCACAGAAUGGAGUCUUGCAUUCUCUCAGGUGUUUCUGGUCUUCUGUCAGUAAAUAUGCCUAAGUCCCUCCCUCUUUAAAUCACUUAAAUGGAUGCAAACCUGGAACCUUCAAACACAAAGACAACCUCCAGAGUCUCUCACCGUACUUCCCUUCUCAUGGUUGUGGCCAAGGUCAAGAGGGAAGCAUGGCGGCUGAAGCUGACCCAUCAGAUGGGAGCCGCUAUUUCUGAAUAUGGAGUUUAUUAAGAGAGAGCAAGAAAAGUAGGGGAGGAAGCCACGCUGUCCACAACUGAAGGGGGCCUCCUUCCCUUAAGAGCAGCACUCUGAUUAGGAUGAAAAUGAAAGGCACCUUUAGAGCUGUGCAUUCUAACUUUAUGAACAGAAAAACUCAAAACUGGCUGCAACCGCAGCCCUACGGGAGUGUCCCACGGCUUCCAAGACAAUGCUUUUAAACUGAAGAAGCUGAUGUUUGCGGGUUUUCACGGAUGUUUUGGGGAAACCUUGUGACAGCAGCUGGAACUGAGGGGCUUAACUGAGCAGGAAGCAUCAGGCAGAAUUCACAGCUGCAAAGGAGGCUCAGCGCCCGCUCCCUUCCAGAGAAUCAUCCGUUAGCAUUACACGGAGAGCUCUCUACCACACUGUGAGAUAAACCUCGUACAUGCCGCGUUUACCUCGCAAAACAAACCCUUAUGGAACAGCUCGGUCUAUGUUUAUCCAAGUCACGGUGGGGCUUUACACACUGCUAGUCAAUGCCAAGUGUGAGGGAUGAUCAUAGCUAUUGCGUAAACCUGUCAGUAGCCUUGGUCCCUUGAAUCUAAGUGACCAAAGUCACUGGUUUUUAGUUGGGGAGGUAUGCUGUAGCUAGCGCUGCAUUAGAGGUCACGCUCCCGGUGGGACUAAGUAGUCUGUUCUGAUAAAACAAACUUCAUUCUCGAAUAUAACAAUGCAGACAAAAUGCUGGUUGCAUAAGAGAAUCUUUCCCAAUUAUGUUCUAGCUAAAAGCAGGGCAGAUGGUCUAAAGAGCUUAAUAAAAAUACAGACCUAGCUAGUCCCCCACUUAGUAUGCUGUUUUACUGAUAUUCUUAGAACUGUCUUCUAGGAUCAGGCUGUAGAUUAAGGUAUUGUUUCCUGGGUAAGAACUAUAACCCAUCCAUUUUUUUUUAAGAUUUAUUUAUUUAUUAUAUAUAAGUACACUGUAGCUGUCUUCAGACACACCAGAAGAGGGCAUCAGAUCCCAUUACAGAUGGUUGUGAGCCACCAUGUGGUUGCUGGGAUUUGAACUCAGGACCUCUGGAAGAGCAGUCAGUGCUCUUAACCGCUGAGCCAUCUCUCUAGCCCUUAACCCAUCCAUUUUUAUAAAAAUCAGAACCUGGACUGCCUUAGCUCCUUUGAGAACAGCCUCAGUGACCAUCCUUCAAAGGUACUUUUUCUAAAAUUCAGAGAAAUUGACUUUAUUAUCUGUUUGCAUGGCUGGUAUGACGGAUGCUCAGACCUUUUAGAUCUCAAAAUGACUGGGAGUUGAUCUGUCACAGCCCCUUCCGUUUCUGUCACCUGCAGACAGCUGCUGGUCUUCCAGAGUUGGCUUGAGAUUGUACCUAGUGUUAGGGCUGGUUUGGGUCUUUGACCAAGAACAACCUCAAGCAGGUUCAUCGUGGAGAACAAGAUACAUUAAGCCCUUAACAUGGCAAAGAAAACCCAAGGUAUAAAUCUAGGGCAUACCCUGAUGAUACCAGUGGAGUGGGGCAGGAUUUUUUUUAAAGCUUUAAUGAAAAAGUCAUGGCUUCCCUAGAGUCAACCAAAAACUAGGAGCAACAAGGGUUAAAGACCCAAUGGACCAAUCAGGAAGAUUUCAUUACGGUUACUCCUUUAACACAGUGCUUCUUACCCUUCCUAAGGCUGCAACCCUUUAAUAUAGUUCCACAUGUGUGGUGACCCCAACCGUACAAUUACUUUUGCUUCUACUUCAUAACUGUAAUUUUGCUGUUAUGAACCGUAAUGUAAAUAUCUGUGUUUUCCGAUAGCCGUGGGCGACCCC